This is a non-coding RNA of Ciona savignyi (Pacific transparent sea squirt), 82 nucleotides long. Lineage: Eukaryota; Metazoa; Chordata; Ascidiacea; Phlebobranchia; Cionidae. The record is from Rfam.
GCUGCGAUGGUCGAGUGAUUAAGGCUUUGGACUCGAAAUCCAAUAGGAUAUUCCCGCGCAGGUACGAAUCCUGUUCGCAGCG